UAGGGAAUCUUCGGCAAUGGACGAAAGUCUGACCGAGCAACGCCGCGUGAGUGAAGAAGGUUUUCGGAUCGUAAAACUCUGUUGUUAGAGAAGAACAAGGACGUUAGUAACUGAACGUCCCCUGACGGUAUCUAACCAGAAAGCCACGGCUAACUACGUGCCAGCAGCCGCGGUAAUACGUAGGUGGCAAGCGUUGUCCGGAUUUAUUGGGCGUAAAGCGAGCGCAGGCGGUUUCUUAAGUCUGAUGUGAAAGCCCCCGGCUCAACCGGGGAGGGUCAUUGGAAACUGGGAGACUUGAGUGCAGAAGAGGAAGGUGGAAUUCCAUGUGUAGCGGUGAAAUGCGUAGAUAUAUGGAGGAACACCAGUGGCGAAGGCGGCUCUCUGGUCUGUAACUGACACUGAGGCUCGAAAGCGUGGGGAGCAAACAGG
This 429-nucleotide ribosomal RNA is filed under the name Gemmatimonadota bacterium. RNAcentral's name for it is "Gemmatimonadetes bacterium partial 16S ribosomal RNA". It matches the Rfam family "Bacterial small subunit ribosomal RNA", at positions 355 to 776 of the family's 1533-position model. The record is from RNAcentral. Lineage: Bacteria; Pseudomonadati; Gemmatimonadota.